UGAUAAUAAAAAAGUGAUCAAAAAGUUAAAAUAUGAAUCCCUGGAAAACCAUUUAACAAAUGACUUUGGAUAAUCAAAUAUGGGAAACAGUCAAUAAAAUUUAUCAGCCAAAAAGAAAAGUAAGCUAAUAGUUACACCAUCUGUUCAACUCAUGUGAGGGCUAUAACAAAAUGAUUCAUAUGCACAAGGCUAUCGAUGACCUAAAGGUGUAGAUAUCUGAAUAUAAAUUCAUUGAUAAAUCUUUACACUACUCAAUUGGUAAUAGAAGAUGUCACCAACAGAAACCAAAAACAACUUCAUUUUAAGGCUAGGCAAGCAAGUGUUAUGGUGGGUAUGCAAAUAAAAUUACUAUAAUAUAUAAAUAAGCAAAACAUUAACAAUACCGUCUAGAUCAUAUGCAGAAACAUGAUACAUCUAGGUUAACUGACCAUUUCAUGCAAUCAACUUCAUAGCAGGUUUUCAAAGGAAUGUCAUAAUCAAAAGCAUUCACAGAACACAAGUUAUUCUAUAUUUUCAACUAUAGUUCUGCAUCAACAGUCCAGAUAAAACCUGCAAUCAGCAUUCAGGGUUCUGAACGUUAAGAUAAAACAUAUGGGACAAAAUUUACCUACAAAUUCAACACGGGCAACCAUAAUGGUCAGACAAAGAAAGUGACAAGCAUAAUUUAAUUAAAACAAGAACAAUACAAGCCAGAGCCAUAAAAUGCACAGUUCAGUCUCCUGGAUGCAAAAAUAAUAACAGACAAACCAUGGAAGCCCAG
RNAcentral lists this unclassified non-coding RNA (760 nucleotides) under Hevea brasiliensis (rubber tree). The record is from RNAcentral. Lineage: Eukaryota; Viridiplantae; Streptophyta; Magnoliopsida; Malpighiales; Euphorbiaceae.